GAUGAACGCUGGCGGCGUGCCUAAUACAUGCAAGUCGAGCGAACGGACGAGAAGCUUGCUUCUCUGAUGUUAGCGGCGGACGGGUGAGUAACACGUGGAUAACCUACCUAUAAGACUGGGAUAACUUCGGGAAACCGGAGCUAAUACCGGAUAAUAUUUUGAACCGCAUGGUUCAAAAGUGAAAGACGGUCUUGCUGUCACUUAUAGAUGGAUCCGCGCUGCAUUAGCUAGUUGGUAAGGUAACGGCUUACCAAGGCAACGAUGCAUAGCCGACCUGAGAGGGUGAUCGGCCACCAUGGAACUGAGACACGGUCCAGACUCCUACGGGAGGCAGCAGUAGGGAAUCUUCCGCAAUGGGCGAAGGCCGGACGGGGCAACGCCGCGUGAGUGAUGAAGGUCUUCGGAUCUUAAAACUCUGUUAUUAGGGAAGAACAUAUGUGUAAGUAACUGUGCACAUCUUGACGGUACCUAAUCAGAAAGCCACGGCUAACUACGUG
This 497-nucleotide ribosomal RNA is filed under the name uncultured bacterium. RNAcentral describes it as "partial 16S ribosomal RNA". It matches the Rfam family "Bacterial small subunit ribosomal RNA", at positions 28 to 507 of the family's 1533-position model. The record is from RNAcentral.